RNAcentral lists this long non-coding RNA (1015 nucleotides) under Scleropages formosus (Asian bonytongue). Its description in RNAcentral is "lncRNA (ENSSFOG00015027133.1)". The record is from RNAcentral. Lineage: Eukaryota; Metazoa; Chordata; Actinopteri; Osteoglossiformes; Osteoglossidae.
AUGCUGCCUAAAACCAACACACUUCUUCCUCCGCUUCUUCUCCUUCUUCUUCUUCUUCCUCUUCUUCUUCUUCCUUUGGUGGAAGGUGCCAUCAGCCCUGCCACCAUUUGGCUAAAACGAUCCGCGCGUGACUUGAAACGGUCGCGAUCUCGUUCCUAUUGCCGCUCUUCCACUUUUUUUUCCCUCCCCUGGAAGCUCCUGGCUGUCUGUGCAGGAUAUCGCCACCGCCGCGACGACUUAAUAGAGGCAAAGGAACCUUUUUUUGGAAAGACGUGUCAACGAGGGCGAAGCAACUGAUGUGUUAAUUUGACAGGAAGUUUGAUGCCACCAUUUGUUAAGGUGCAGGAUCACCUUGUAUGCAUGAUGACAGGAAUCCAAAGAAAUGAAGCCAUGAUGACUGCAAGUGUUUGCUGGAAUGGAGCAGCCUUUUCACACUGGACACGCUUGUUCGUAAAAGCACCCCGAACUUGGAAAGGAAACGCCCCCAGUUUGCUUCCCUCGCACAUCGGAUGCGGCUAGAGUGCACUUGAAAAUGGGCCGAGGACACUUUCAUCUUUGGAAGUGCAAGGAGAAUGCUGACGUUGUCUUUCAUACUACUGGGUGCUGGGAAAACACACACCGCUUUUCUUGAACUGUUCUUUUUUUUGCCUUUAUCCACGAAGAACAGGAGCAAUGGUAAAAUGACUGUUUCUUCACCUGAUUGGAAAAUGUUUCUUGAAUUGUACUUUCCAGGAUGGAUUUUCACUUCCUCCCCAUAGUCUCUUUUUGCCUCAGACAUCGCAUUUUGACUCGAACGACAGCGGAGAACUCACCUGCACAUACAACAAGUGUUAGUUGUAAGCAGAAACGGUGUGUACAGGUAACUCAGUUGAUAAGAGAGCCACCUUUUCAGUGUCCUGGGGAUGUUGGCUUCAAUUACCUCCAGAAGAUGAAGCCUUUGCCUCAUUCUGAAAGGCAAAUUUUUCCUGAAACAAGGUGAACUUGGGCAAUAAAUUCAAGUUUUGUGAAUAAAACA